Molecule: ribosomal RNA, 2183 nt
Filed under: Escherichia coli
Lineage: Bacteria; Pseudomonadati; Pseudomonadota; Gammaproteobacteria; Enterobacterales; Enterobacteriaceae
Description: partial 23S ribosomal RNA
Rfam family: Bacterial large subunit ribosomal RNA
Source: RNAcentral
GGUUAAGCGACUAAGCGUACACGGUGGAUGCCCUGGCAGUCAGAGGCGAUGAAGGACGUGCUAAUCUGCGAUAAGCGUCGGUAAGGUGAUAUGAACCGUUAUAACCGGCGAUUUCCGAAUGGGGAAACCCAGUGUGUUUCGACACACUAUCAUUAACUGAAUCCAUAGGUUAAUGAGGCGAACCGGGGGAACUGAAACAUCUAAGUACCCCGAGGAAAAGAAAUCAACCGAGAUUCCCCCAGUAGCGGCGAGCGAACGGGGAGCAGCCCAGAGCCUGAAUCAGUGUGUGUGUUAGUGGAAGCGUCUGGAAAGGCGUGCGAUACAGGGUGACAGCCCCGUACACAAAAAUGCACAUGCUGUGAGCUCGAUGAGUAGGGCGGGACACGUGGUAUCCUGUCUGAAUAUGGGGGGACCAUCCUCCAAGGCUAAAUACUCCUGACUGACCGAUAGUGAACCAGUACCGUGAGGGAAAGGCGAAAAGAACCCCGGCGAGGGGAGUGAAAAAGAACCUGAAACCGUGUACGUACAAGCAGUGGGAGCACGCUUAGGCGUGUGACUGCGUACCUUUUGUAUAAUGGGUCAGCGACUUAUAUUCUGUAGCAAGGUUAACCGAAUAGGGGAGCCGAAGGGAAACCGAGUCUUAACUGGGCGUUAAGUUGCAGGGUAUAGACCCGAAACCCGGUGAUCUAGCCAUGGGCAGGUUGAAGGUUGGGUAACACUAACUGGAGGACCGAACCGACUAAUGUUGAAAAAUUAGCGGAUGACUUGUGGCUGGGGGUGAAAGGCCAAUCAAACCGGGAGAUAGCUGGUUCUCCCCGAAAGCUAUUUAGGUAGCGCCUCGUGAAUUCAUCUCCGGGGGUAGAGCACUGUUUCGGCAAGGGGGUCAUCCCGACUUACCAACCCGAUGCAAACUGCGAAUACCGGAGAAUGUUAUCACGGGAGACACACGGCGGGUGCUAACGUCCGUCGUGAAGAGGGAAACAACCCAGACCGCCAGCUAAGGUCCCAAAGUCAUGGUUAAGUGGGAAACGAUGUGGGAAGGCCCAGACAGCCAGGAUGUUGGCUUAGAAGCAGCCAUCAUUUAAAGAAAGCGUAAUAGCUCACUGGUCGAGUCGGCCUGCGCGGAAGAUGUAACGGGGCUAAACCAUGCACCGAAGCUGCGGCAGCGACGCUGAUGCGUUGUUGGGUAGGGGAGCGUUCUGUAAGCCUGCGAAGGUGUGCUGUGAGGCAUGCUGGAGGUAUCAGAAGUGCGAAUGCUGACAUAAGUAACGAUAAAGCGGGUGAAAAGCCCGCUCGCCGGAAGACCAAGGGUUCCUGUCCAACGUUAAUCGGGGCAGGGUGAGUCGACCCCUAAGGCGAGGCCGAAAGGCGUAGUCGAUGGGAAACAGGUUAAUAUUCCUGUGCUUGGUGUUACUGCGAAGGGGGGACGGAGAAGGCUAUGUUGGCCGGGCGACGGUUGUCCCGGUUUAAGCGUGUAGGCUGGUUUUCCAGGCAAAUCCGGAAAAUCAAGGCUGAGGCGUGAUGACGAGGCACUACGGUGCUGAAGCAACAAAUGCCCUGCUUCCAGGAAAAGCCUCUAAGCAUCAGGUAACAUCAAAUCGUACCCCAAACCGACACAGGUGGUCAGGUAGAGAAUACCAAGGCGCUUGAGAGAACUCGGGUGAAGGAACUAGGCAAAAUGGUGCCGUAACUUCGGGAGAAGGCACGCUGAUAUGUAGGUGAAGUCCCUCGCGGAUGGAGCUGAAAUCAGUCGAAGAUACCAGCUGGCUGCAACUGUUUAUUAAAAACACAGCACUGUGCAAACACGAAAGUGGACGUAUACGGUGUGACGCCUGCCCGGUGCCGGAAGGUUAAUUGAUGGGGUCAGCGCAAGCGAAGCUCUUGAUCGAAGCCCCGGUAAACGGCGGCCGUAACUAUAACGGUCCUAAGGUAGCGAAAUUCCUUGUCGGGUAAGUUCCGACCUGCACGAAUGGCGUAAUGAUGGCCAGGCUGUCUCCACCCGAGACUCAGUGAAAUUGAACUCGCUGUGAAGAUGCAGUGUACCCGCGGCAAGACGGAAAGACCCCGUGAACCUUUACUAUAGCUUGACACUGAACAUUGAGCCUUGAUGUGUAGGAUAGGUGGGAGGCUUUGAAGUGUGGACGCCAGUCUGCAUGGAGCCGACCUUGAAAUACCACCCUUUA